Papaver somniferum (opium poppy) is the source of this 71-nucleotide non-coding RNA. NCBI's taxonomy places the organism in Eukaryota, Viridiplantae, Streptophyta, Magnoliopsida, Ranunculales, Papaveraceae. The record is from the annotation of a RefSeq genome assembly.
GAACUUGUGGUGCAAUGGUAGCAUGACUGACUCGAUAUCAGAUGAUGCGUGUUCGACUCACGCCAAGUUCA